This 247-nucleotide ribosomal RNA is filed under the name uncultured bacterium. RNAcentral describes it as "partial 16S ribosomal RNA". It matches the Rfam family "Bacterial small subunit ribosomal RNA", at positions 523 to 769 of the family's 1533-position model. The record is from RNAcentral.
AUACGAAGGGGGCUAGCGUUGUUCGGAAUUACUGGGCGUAAAGCGCACGUAGGCUGUUUGGUAAGUCAGGGGUGAAAUCCCGGGGCUCAACCUCGGAACUGCCUUUGAUACUGGGUGUCUAGAGUGUGGAAGAGGUAAGUGGAAUUCCGAGUGUAGAGGUGAAAUUCGUAGAUAUUCGGAGGAACACCAGUGGCGAAGGCGGCUUACUGGUCCAUUACUGACGCUGAGGUGCGAAAGCGUGGGGAGC